RNAcentral lists this ribosomal RNA (253 nucleotides) under uncultured bacterium. Its description in RNAcentral is "partial 16S ribosomal RNA". It matches the Rfam family "Bacterial small subunit ribosomal RNA", at positions 524 to 776 of the family's 1533-position model. The record is from RNAcentral.
UACGGAGGGUGCGAGCGUUGUCCGGAAUCACUGGGCGUAAAGGGCGCGUAGGCGGCGCGGGCAGUCAACGGUGAAAGCUUGGGGCUCAACCCCGAGUCGGCCGUCGAUACUCCCGGGCUGGAGCACUGUAGAGGCAGGUGGAAUUCCGGGUGUAGCGGUGGAAUGCGUAGAGAUCCGGAAGGACACCGGUGGCGAAGGCGGCCUGCUGGGCAGUAGCUGACGCUGAGGCGCGACAGCGUGGGGAGCAAACAGG